Molecule: ribosomal RNA, 160 nt
Filed under: Thelohanellus kitauei
Lineage: Eukaryota; Metazoa; Cnidaria; Myxozoa; Bivalvulida; Myxobolidae
Description: eukaryotic small subunit ribosomal RNA
Rfam family: Eukaryotic small subunit ribosomal RNA
Source: RNAcentral
CACCGCCCGUCGCUACUACCGAGUGAAUGGUGUCAUGAUGCGCUGGGACUGGACGUUGGAUGGGUCCUCGGGCUCGUCCGACGCUGGGAUCAGCGUAAAAUGGCGCAAUUUCGAGGAAGUAAAAGUCGUAACAAGGUUUCCGUAGGUGAACCUGCGGAAG